RNA transcript from Chrysochloris asiatica (Cape golden mole), 693 nucleotides. It is a transcript of the gene named oxidative stress responsive serine-rich 1 pseudogene, with no coding region annotated. The record is from RefSeq and is a predicted model, not a curated record. Lineage: Eukaryota; Metazoa; Chordata; Mammalia; Afrosoricida; Chrysochloridae. The transcript has a single exon.
AAAGUCAAUGAUUCCCCUGAUGGCAGCAGUGGGCUGGGAAUUUCGACCCCUAAAAGAGUGCAAUGCAGGAGAAUGUGCUGCUUCUCCUCCUGAUGCUAAUCAUACAGGGGCAGUCGUUGAGCCUCUGAGAACUUCAGUUCCAGGGCUCCCAUCAGAGAAUACCAAGGAAGACUCCUCGGAUGCCACCCACAUCUCCCAAGCAAGUGUCAAGGCCAAUGAUCUCUCUGACUUUCAGUCCGUUUCCAAGUUGAACCAGGGCAAGGCAUGUGCGUGCCUGGGCCAGGAGUGCCCGUGUAAGAGAUGGCAUGGCAUGGAGGUGUACUCCUUCUCAGGCCUGCAGAAGGUCCCGCCCACGGCCCCAGAACGAAGAUCCACACUUAAGGACUACUCUCAGUCGCUCCACACCAGAACUCUGUCUGGCUCCCCCAACUCCUGUUCUGAGCAAGCUCGAGUCUAUGUGGAUGAUGUGACCAUUGAGGACCUGUCAGGCUACAUGGAAUAUUACUUGUAUAUUCCCAAGAAAAUGUCCCACAUGGCAGAAAUGAUGUACAUCUGAUAUCCAGAAGCUAAUCCUAUGCUUUAAACCAAUGAAGGGUUGUCAGAUUUAGCUAAUGGCAGACCUUGCAGCCACUUGGUGUGAGAAGACAUCUCCUGCUCACUGUGCUUGCAAUAAAAACAUUUCUUGGCAUCUCA